AUACGGGAGGCAGCAGUGGGGAAUCUUGGUCAAUGGGCGCAAGCCUGAACCAGCGACGCCGCGUGAGUGAUGAAGGCCUUCGGGUUGUAAAGCUCUGUGGGGAGGGACGAAAAACUGGAGUCGAAUAGGCUUCCAGGUUGACGGUACCUCCUUAGCAAGCACCGGCUAACUCUGUGCCAGCAGCCGCGGUAAGACAGAGGGUGCAAACGUUGCUCGGAAUCACUGGGCGUAAAGGGCGUGUAGGCGGAUUUGUAAGUCGGGCGUGAAAUCCCUGGGCUCAACCCAGGAACUGCACUCGAAACUGCGAGUCUUGAGUACCGGAGAGGAAGGUGGAAUUCCUGGUGUAGAGGUGAAAUUCGUAGAUAUCAGGAGGAACACCAGUGGCGAAGGCGGCCUUCUGGACGGUAACUGACGCUGAGACGCGAAAGCGUGGGGAGCAAACAGGAUUAGAUACCCGUGUAGUCCA
RNAcentral lists this ribosomal RNA (466 nucleotides) under uncultured bacterium. Its description in RNAcentral is "bacterial SSU rRNA". It matches the Rfam family "Bacterial small subunit ribosomal RNA", at positions 339 to 797 of the family's 1533-position model. The record is from RNAcentral.